UACGUGGGGUGCAAGCGUUAAUCGGAAUUACUGGGCGUAAAGCGUGCGCAGGCGGUUAUGUAAGACAGAUGUGAAAUCCCCGGGCUCAACCUGGGAACUGCAUUUGUGACUGCAUAGCUAGAGUGCGGCAGAGGGAGAUGGAAUUCCGCGUGUAGCAGUGAAAUGCGCAGAUAUCAGGAAGAACACCCGUGGCGAAGGCGGCUCUCUGGUACGGAACUGACGCUGAGACGCGAAAGCGUGGGGAGCGAACAGG
Molecule: ribosomal RNA, 253 nt
Filed under: uncultured bacterium
Lineage: Bacteria
Description: partial 16S ribosomal RNA
Rfam family: Bacterial small subunit ribosomal RNA
Source: RNAcentral